AGCGAACGCUGGCGGCAGGCCUAACACAUGCAAGUCGAGCGGGCGUAGCAAUACGUCUGCGGCAGACGGGAGAGUAACACGUGGGAACGUGCCCUUUGGUUCGGAAUAACUCAGGGAAACUUGAGCUAAUACCGGAUAAGCCCUUCGGGGGAAAGAUUUAUUGCCAUUGGAGCGGCCCGCGUCGGAUUAGCUAGUUGGUGAGGUAAUGGCUCACCAAGGCGACGAUCCGUAGCUGGUCUGAGAGGAUGACCAGCCUCACUGGGACUGAGACACGGCCCAGACUCCUACGGGAGGCAGCAGUGGGGAAUAUUGGACAAUGGGCGCAAGCCUGAUCCAGCAUGCCGCGUGGAUGAUGAAGGCCCUAGGGUUGUAAAGUCCUUUUAACGGGGAAGAUAAUGACGGUACCCGUAGAAUAAGCCCCGGCUAACUUCGUGCCAGCAGCCGCCGUAA
RNAcentral lists this ribosomal RNA (450 nucleotides) under uncultured bacterium. Its description in RNAcentral is "partial 16S ribosomal RNA". It matches the Rfam family "Bacterial small subunit ribosomal RNA", at positions 29 to 523 of the family's 1533-position model. The record is from RNAcentral.